GACGAACGCGGGCGGCGUGCCUAAUACAUGCAAGUAGAACGCUGAAGGAGGAGCUUGCUUCUCUGGAUGAGUUGCGAACGGGUGAGUAACGCGUAGGUAACCUGCCUGGUAGCGGGGGAUAACUAUUGGAAACGAUAGCUAAUACCGCAUAAGAGUAGAUGUUGCAUGACAUUUGCUUAAAAGGUGCAAUUGCAUCACUACCAGAUGGGCCUGCGUUGUAUUAGCUAGUUGGUGGGGUAACGGCUCACCAAGGCGACGAUACAUAGCCGACCUGAGAGGGUGAUCGGCCACACUGGGACUGAGACACGGCCCAGACUCCUACGGGAGGCAGCAGUAGGGAAUCUUCGGCAAUGGACGGAAGUCUGACCGAGCAACGCCGCGUGAGUGAAGAAGGUUUUCGGAUCGUAAAGCUCUGUUGUAAGAGAAGAACGAGUGUGAGAGUGGAAAGUUCACACUGUGACGGUAUCUUACCAGAAAGGGACGGCUAACUACGUGCCAGCAGCCGCGGUAAUACGUAGGUCCCGAGCGUUGUCCGGAUUUAUUGGGCGUAAAGCGAGCGCAGGCGGUUAGAUAAGUCUGAAGUUAAAGGCUGUGGCUUAACCAUAGUACGCUUUGGAAACUGUUUAACUUGAGUGCAAGAGGGGAGAGUGGAAUUCCAUGUGUAGCGGUGAAAUGCGUAGAUAUAUGGAGGAGCACCGGUGGCGAAAGCGGCUCUCUGGCUUGUAACUGACGCUGAGGCUCGAAAGCGUGGGGAGCAAACAGG
RNAcentral lists this ribosomal RNA (763 nucleotides) under uncultured Streptococcus sp. RNAcentral describes it as "bacterial SSU rRNA". It matches the Rfam family "Bacterial small subunit ribosomal RNA", at positions 28 to 776 of the family's 1533-position model. Lineage: Bacteria; Bacillati; Bacillota; Bacilli; Lactobacillales; Streptococcaceae. The record is from RNAcentral.